CGUACGGGUGCGUAACGCGUAUGCAACCUACCUUCAACUGGGGGAUAGCCCGGGGAAACCCGGAUUAAUACCGCAUAAUACAUUUACACGGCAUUGUGUGAUUUGUUAAAGAUUUAUUGGUUGAAGAUGGGCAUGCGUUCGAUUAGCUAGUUGGUAUGGGUAACGGCCUACCAAGGCGACGAUCGAUAGGGGAGCUGAGAGGUUGAUCCCCCACACGAGCACUGAGAUACGGGCCCGACUCCUACGGGAGGCAGCAGUAGGGAAUAUUGGGCAAUGGAUGCAAGUCUGACCCAGCCAUGCCGCGUGCCGGAUGAAGGCCCUCAGGGUUGUAAACGGCUUUUAUUCGGGAAGAAGAGCAGGGAUGCGUCCUUGUGUGACGGUACCGAAUGAAUAAGCACCGGCUAACUCCGUGCCAGCAGCCGCGGUAAUACGGAGGGUGCGAGCGUUGUCCGGAUUUAUUGGGUUUAAAGGGUGCGUAGGUGGCUUGAUAAGUCAGUGGUGAAAUACAGCCGCUCAACGGUUGAGGUGCCAUUGAUACUGUCAAGCUUGAAAGAAUUGG
Molecule: ribosomal RNA, 559 nt
Filed under: uncultured bacterium
Lineage: Bacteria
Description: bacterial SSU rRNA
Rfam family: Bacterial small subunit ribosomal RNA
Source: RNAcentral